This 946-nucleotide ribosomal RNA is filed under the name Diutina rugosa. Its description in RNAcentral is "LSU rRNA". The stretch from base 233 to 946 matches the Rfam family "Eukaryotic large subunit ribosomal RNA", at positions 1 to 824 of the family's 3401-position model. The record is from RNAcentral. Lineage: Eukaryota; Fungi; Ascomycota; Pichiomycetes; Serinales; Debaryomycetaceae.
GAUCUCUAGGUUCUCGCAUCGAUGAAGAACGCAGCGAAAUGCGAUACGUAGUACGAAACGCAAGUCGUGAAUCAUCGAAUCUUUGAACGCACAUUGCGCUGUGUGGCAUUCCGCACAGCAUGCCUGUUUGAGCAAUAUUUCUCUCUCGCAAGGUGUUGGGCACCACGCCGGCAGGCGUCUGCCCGAAACGCGACCGUCUAAAACAGUUAAGCUUGUUACAGACUCACGAUCUUAUUCUCAAAUCAGGUAGGACUACCCGCUGAACUUAAGCAUAUCAAUAAGCGGAGGAAAAGAAACCAACCGGGAUUGCCUCAGUAACGGCGAGUGAAGCGGCAACAGCUCAAAUUUGAAAGCCCGCGGGCGUUGUAAUUUGCAGGCGGAUGUUUUGGGGCGGGCGCUGUCUACGUUCCUUGGAACAGGACGCCGCAGAGGGUGAGAGCCCCGUGCGAUGGCGCCUCCAACCGCGUAAAACUCCGCCGACGAGUCGAGUUGUUUGGGAAUGCAGCUCCAAGUGGGUGGUAAAUUCCAUCUAAAGCUAAAUACUGGCGAGAGACCGAUAGCGAACAAGUACAGUGAUGGAAAGAUGAAAAGCACUUUGAAAAGAGAGUGAAACAGCACGUGAAAUUGUUGAAAGGGAAGGGUAUGCGAUUAGCGGCCAGCAGGAGGUGCCUUCUCGUGAAAAGGCCGUGCACCGUCUUCGGACACCGUGCGCGGAGAUGGCGAGGGGGCGCCUGAGGUCUGCGACUCGAGGUUGCUGGCGUAAUGAUUGCAUACCACCCGUCUUGAAACACGGACCAAGGAGUCUAACGUCUAUGCGAGUAUGUGGGUGUCAAACCCGCGUGCGGAAUGAAAGUGACACGGUUGGAGCCGCAAGGCGCACAAUCGACCGAACCUGAUGUUCUCGGAUGGUUUUGAGUAAGAGCAUAGCUGUUGGGACCCGAAAGAU